GGGGAAAGGCUGGGUGGCCUGGCUCUCAGCUGGCUGGAGAGAUAUGGCCCUAGUGCUAUGGAGACUGGUCUGAGCUGGAGAGGUCCUGGCACAGGCACCCAUCAGGCCCAGGCCACCUUUUGAGGGAUAGAAGGGUGUGUGAUAGAAGGGUGACUGCAGAGGAAGGAAGAGCACUGUGGGGGGGCUUCAGCGGGCACCUGCCUUGUCUGCAAGCCAGGAGAGUCGCAUUUAUCUGCAUCAACUGAGCUCUGGGGCUGUCUACCCAUGAAGGAGAAUCAUCACCUCCGUUCUACAGACACAUACAAAUGUUGUCAAAGCCAAAGCCACUGAAACACGCAUCUGCACAAACACCUUGCCUAAGACCUGUGAAUGAUCUGCGUCUUUCCUGAAUUAGCCUGCUUUGAGAAUGCUAGCAGAAGACAUGCGAUUCCUGGGGUAGA
Dipodomys ordii (Ord's kangaroo rat) is the source of this 440-nucleotide long non-coding RNA. RefSeq lists it as uncharacterized. The record is from RefSeq and is a predicted model, not a curated record. The transcript has 3 exons. Lineage: Eukaryota; Metazoa; Chordata; Mammalia; Rodentia; Heteromyidae.